UGGGAGGAGAAUGACAGGCUACUAAAAAUGUGCAUGCAAGAUAUUUCUCACGGAGACAAGUGGUACUGAGAAAACUAAAGCAGGUCACUACACUCAGAGGGGUCUGCUGUUACGGGCUUCAGCUGACUCUUUUUCUUGAUCUAUAUGGAUUCCAUCAGAGCCCAGAAGCUCUCACAGAGUCUGAAUGAGUGUUCUCUGCUGCUGCCAUGUUGGCCAAAACAAAACUGAGCUGGAGCCUUCGGGGUGUAGGGGGAUGAUGCAGCUCCUGGGAGUCAAGCUCUCCACCCACGGCCGCCCAGAGCAAGGUGUAGGAGGAGACCCGGAGGAAGCAUCUGGCUGGAAAGUGGACAUUCCUCAGUCAAGAAGAUUUUAA
Nyctereutes procyonoides (raccoon dog) is the source of this 373-nucleotide long non-coding RNA. RefSeq lists it as uncharacterized. The transcript has 3 exons. NCBI's taxonomy places the organism in Eukaryota, Metazoa, Chordata, Mammalia, Carnivora, Canidae. The record is from RefSeq and is a predicted model, not a curated record.